This 405-nucleotide long non-coding RNA is filed under the name Penaeus japonicus. RNAcentral describes it as "uncharacterized LOC122250138". The record is from RNAcentral. Lineage: Eukaryota; Metazoa; Arthropoda; Malacostraca; Decapoda; Penaeidae.
GCAACAGGAGCGGUAGUGUGGUAGCGCGAGGACAGGCCACUCACUUACACGCAGUCUACCUGCUUCCUUGCUUCUACAGCUGACACAGGAAAUUUCCGAAGCGUCUUUGUAGAAAAAAAAAUUAUAAUUGAGUUUUUAUUAAAAAACAUCGUUUCUACAGCAAAUGGAAGAAUAAUGACAUUCUUCUUAUUAAGAACAGUUAACAAAGACUUUACUUAACAGAAGAUAAAAAAUAAACUUUUUUUUCUGUUGUUUUUAUAUGAUCUUAAUCUAAACCAGUGAAAUAAGAAGACACUACUUUGUAAAAAACAUCUAUAUAGAGGUGACAAAAGGAGAGAGAAAUAAAUCAUAAAAAAAGCGAAAUAAAGAGAGAAAUAAAAGAAAAACACACAUAGAAAAAAAAAA